UCUCACUGUGGUUUUAAUUUGCAUUUCUUUGAUGAUUAGCGAUGUUGUAGUAAAGUAGAAAAUGUUAAGGCCUGCUCGGGGUCACACGAGUUCACCAGGCUCAAGGUAUGCACCCCUUUCCCGGAGGAGCUGGCCCCUCCUCAGGGAGAAGGGAGCAACAAUCCUGGGCUGCGUUCCAGAGACACUUGUCCUUGGGCUAUGUGCCCGGGAUAACUACCUUGGGAAACGUGCCCGGGACGUUCCUAUUAACAGUAAGUCGUGAACGCGGCCCUGGCUCCUGGCCAGAUCCAUGUCUGUAUGUGAAUCAUGCAUGCACCUACUGGCACUGAGGCUCUUUUGUUUAAACUAGCAUAAAUAUCAGCUUAGAGAAACCGCGAGCAGCCUUCCCCUGAUCAUGCUUGGAGUACUGCUGCCUUGUCAUCCUCCCCUGAAACUUGCCCGUGAUGAUUUGUUUUCCGGUACUGAUGAUGGGGUUCUAGUGGCGCUCACGCUAAGAAGACUUCAGUUGAACGUGAGUAUAACGCUGAUGUGGAUUGCUUAGCAGCUAUAGCUGAAGUGGAAUGUUCUACUCCCAUUAGUGACGAAACAUUAACACUUGCACGAUGGAUUCAUCACAAGACAGGACAUGCAGGCUCCGCUGCUAUGCACAGAUUAUAUUAUAGACUCCUCUGCUGUGGACACCUGCAAUGAGUAAUGCAUGGACACCUGGAACUCAACUAGGACUGCCAACCCACUACAACAUUACCAGAGCUGAGUGGCAGUAUGCAUGGAAGAACGUCACUCUACCACGCUCCCAAGAUUCUUUCCAGCGUCGUGCUAACCAACCCUGUUCUAUUGCAAAUGUAACAGUAUCAGCAAACAGCAAUAUGACUGUAUGGAAAGGAAAUAAGGAAAGCCAAUACCACAUGGUAGUUUCUAGCUCCCCACCUAUUAAUUUUAUUUUUAAAACCAAAGUUAAUGUUACUUGUUGUAGUGUGAAUAUUUCCAUUCAUUCAAAUACUUAUACUAGUUUUGUAGCUAGCAUUUUACAGACUGUGCAAUACUGUAAUAAUUCAAAACAUAAUCUGAAUUGAACUGUUAGCAGUUCUCAGUUUAUUCUUUGUACUAACACCACUCCAAUCAUAAAUAAGACAUCUUGGGUAGAUUAUAUAUGGGUCUCAGUAAAACAACCCCUGAAGAGUGCCACCCCUCAGAUAGUGCAUAUCCCUAGGACCUGUACCAAUAUCUCUGUUGCUGCACCCCAGAGAGUAAUACAUUUUAACAUUUCUUUUCCCACCUUACCUAAAUGCAGCCAUAAAUGCCGUGCUUGGUAUGACACUCGUUUAGGUGGCCUUGGCUCUAGAUUAGGUGUAGCUAAUUCUAUUGAUUUAGAAGCUUUAGCCCAUCGCCUUAAAAAUACUGGAUCAGAUGUAUCCAAAGCUGUGACCUUAAAUGCUAAAUGGUUACCCACUACUACUAUUCCCCAUGAGCAAACGUUAGCUUAUCAGAAACAGAUGUUACAUAUCUUUACUGACUCUAGUAUUCAGCAAUAUUGGAUUGAGACUAAAACUACUGCUUUAUUCAGUUGGACUAAAUGUUCCUUACAAUUAUUGUACACUUUAACACAAAAAUAAAAUGCACAACGUCUCCUUACGCAAAGUUCUCCCGACUCUAUUACCAAUAAUUUUUGGAUAGCCAUGAAUGCUCCUGUUGUUAAUUGCACUGCUUUAUGGUGCUUAGGCACUGUUAUUUGUUACCUUCCUAAAGUUGUUAAAACCUUAUGUUCUUUUCAUACUUUGCCUAUUAUUAAGGAUAACUAUUUUCUACAACCACAGACAGAAGGCACUCAUAUAGACAAUAGUAAUAUUACUUACAAACUAACUGAUUGUAUAUCUACUGACCAAGGGCCAGUUUGUAACGGCCUUCUUCGUAUAAUGGAACCCUGUUUGCUUUCUCAUUCAACUAACUUGUGUAUUGUCACUGCAUUCCCAAUAAGCAAUUUUUCUGUUUUAUAGGAGAUAGAACCCAAACAUGUCUGUUUUGCUAGCUCUAACCUGAGGGAAUUACACAGCAUGGGACUUUCCUCUCCCUUCUCAGGAUGUCUGCAGCGUCUCGAGUUGCUCCACUGGAACGGUGGUGUUUUCUACCUAGCUCCCGAUCUGGAGGAGGAUGAGGCUUUUUCCUGGACUCCUCCUCACGUACAACCUCCUUCUGCAUAUCUGAAUUUAACUCUAGCAACCAUCUUACAGAAUUCCCAAUUGUUAUCCCGUCCUUUGGCUAAUAAUCAAAGAACCCUAGCUGAGCAUCAGUUGAUUACCACUAUAACAUCUAACCAAUUAAAAGACCUUUCUCAUGUUAUAACCCAGGACUCUAAUCACCACUGGUGGGACUCUUUGUUUGGGAGUUCCACUGCCUACAAAUAUUUCUCAGCUAUAUUUACCCCUCUUCUAUUAAUAAUUAUAACCCCCAUUGUUUUGUGCUUCUAUAACUGUUGGAUGUAUCGCCGUAUGCGAAAGAUACAUACCAUGUUUGUGUUGAGACGUGCACAUACAGACACUAUGCAUAUUCCCCAAGCAGCCCUAGGACCGAAUUGUAGUAAAGUAUAAAAUGUUAAGGCCUGCUCGGGGUCGUAUGAGUUUACCAGGCUCAAGGUAUGCACUCCUUUCCCAGAGGAGCUGGCCACUCCUCAGGGAGAAGGGAACAACAACCCUGGGCUGCGUGCCAGAGACACUUGUCCUUGGGCUAUGUGCCCGGGAUAACUAACUACCUUGGGGAAUGCACCCAGGACAUUUCUAUUAACAGCGAGUCAUGAACGUGGCCACGGCU
Manis javanica (Malayan pangolin) is the source of this 2805-nucleotide long non-coding RNA. RefSeq lists it as uncharacterized. NCBI's taxonomy places the organism in Eukaryota, Metazoa, Chordata, Mammalia, Pholidota, Manidae. The record is from RefSeq and is a predicted model, not a curated record.